AGUAAUUGGGUUCCAGAUCACCUUGACCAACGAAACAUCCUUGGUCCUCAACCGCUUAAUCUUCCUGUCAUCAAUUCUCACGGGUGGUACUUCGAACGACAGGUUAUCCUUUAGCUGGAUUGUGUCUGGUUCGAUCACGUGAGAUGGAUCUGCGAGGUACUUCCUCAAUUGUGACACAUGAAACACGUCAUGAAUAUUGGACAGUAUCGGAGGUAAUGCAAUCCGAUAAGCAACCGGCCCAAUUCGUGCAGAAAU
This 255-nucleotide long non-coding RNA is filed under the name Cicer arietinum (chickpea). Its description in RNAcentral is "long non-coding RNA (CARI_LNC003032)". The record is from RNAcentral. Lineage: Eukaryota; Viridiplantae; Streptophyta; Magnoliopsida; Fabales; Fabaceae.